UACGAAGGGUGCAAAUGUUGCUCGGAAUCAUUGGGCGUAAAGCGCACGUAGGCGGCUUGCCAAGUCGGACGUGAAAUCCCUCAGCUCAACUGAGGACGUGCAUCCGAAACUGGCGAGCUUGAGUACUGAAGAGGAUCGCGGAAUUCCCGGUGUAGAGGUGAAAUGCGUAGAUAUUGGGAAGAACACCGGUGGCGAAGGCGGCUCACUGGCCCGUAACUGACGCUCAUGCACGACAGCGUGGGGAGCAAACGGG
This 253-nucleotide ribosomal RNA is filed under the name uncultured bacterium. RNAcentral describes it as "partial 16S ribosomal RNA". It matches the Rfam family "Bacterial small subunit ribosomal RNA", at positions 524 to 776 of the family's 1533-position model. The record is from RNAcentral.